AAAAAUUCUAUAUCGAUUAAUGGGUUGUUUGUCAGUCGUUGAUUUAGUCCUGAAUAUACAUAAGGAAAAGUUAAUCCAGGGUGGAGUCGACUCUUUGUAUACCAAGUAUUACAGUAUACCACCACUCGUAAACUAAAUUAUGGAGUGCUGGCAGGCAAAAUAUUUGGAUUAGUAUUUUAAAAUAAUCUGCAUCUGGAUUAUAUAGCAAAAAAAAAGCAGUCAACGCAGCUCUUGUUGUUCGCGGUAACUAGACCGGUGCUAUGUUUACAAUGAAAUUGCGGGUUUUCGAUCGUACGUAUACACAUCUACUAAUUGAUUUGUAUUAGUUAGUGAUAAAUAUUAAGAAAGAUUAGAAAAAUUAAUCAGUAACUUUAUGUUUGGCAUGUGUACUAGAUAAAGUAUGGCUUAUUAUAUGUUCAUAAACAAAAGCGGGAACCAUUAGAUAUUUGAACGACUUUUACUGGCCUUUACGAUGGAGUUUCGGAAUUUGCCAUAAAUACCAAGCAGCUAUUGUUCUGUAUGGUUUACAAGGUUUAGUUAGUUUUUCAACUUCUUCAGUUUGCGGUUUGCUAGAUAAUCCAAAGAAUUCUUUUGCUUCAUUCUUCAGAGUAGAGUCAUCCGCAGGCAUUAUGUCCAGUCGUCCGAGUGUAAAGAUAGAGUACAUUUCUAUGGUCCAUCGUUUUACUCCUUUUAUCUUACUUAGUGACUCCAUGAGUUCUUCUUCCGACAUCUUCUCAAUUUCCGAUUUAGAAGGUAUUUGCUUGUUUAAUGCAGCCUCUGCAACAAUGUGUAUCUCUUGAGACUUUAAUUUUGAAAAGCCACAUUCAUGCAAAGUUUCAACGUCUGUUUCCAUAAUUUGCUUAGGAGUAGGAAACUCGUCAUUGUCUGAGCACUGUGUACAAAAUUUAUUGAUAAUUGAAUUUGUGGCAGCGUCUGAAAGCUUCUGUGAUGUUAUAGCUCGAAUAAUUCCUUCGUAGGGUGCGUGCUCUGGAUGUGGAGUAAGUGUACAAGGUCCAACUUUUUUGACAAGAGACGACCAUUUGUUAUCAAUUGAAGAUAAAUGCUUUUCAGCCCUUUUGUAGUCCGAAUCUUUUGACAUUUUUGUAUUACUUUUGAGUGUAUGCGCUUGGAAUGGGAUGUGUUUUUCACGCUUCUGAAGUUUUUUGCCUUUAU
This is a non-coding RNA of Schizosaccharomyces pombe (fission yeast), 1173 nucleotides long. The record is from the annotation of a GenBank genome assembly. Lineage: Eukaryota; Fungi; Ascomycota; Schizosaccharomycetes; Schizosaccharomycetales; Schizosaccharomycetaceae.